AUGGAACAAUGUAGGCAAGGGGAGUCGGCAAAACGGAUCCGUAACUUUGGGAAAAGGAUUGGCUCUGAGGACUGGGCUCGGGGGUCCCCGAACCCGUCGGCUAUCGGCGGAUUGCUCGGGCUGCUCAGCGGCGAGAGCGGGUCGCCGCGUGCUGGCCAGGGGAAGGACCGGGAAUCGCCCCUUCGGGGGCUUUCCCCGAGCAUGAAACAGUUGACUCAGAACUGUGCUCUGAAUGUCAAAGUGAAGAAAUUCAACCAAGCGCGGGUAAACGGCGGGAGUAACUAUGACUCUCUUAAGGGGCGCUCGCGCCCCCAAGGGCCCGUGCCAUUGGCUAAGCUGGUCCAGCCGACGUGCCGCGGCCGGCCACCUCGAAGCUCCCUUCCCAACGGGCGGUGGGCUGAAUCCUUUGCAGAUGACUUAAAUACGCGACGGGGCAUUGCUACACGGACCCAUAACGGGUGGUAUGAGACAAGGGAAAAAAGUUCCCGACGCCCGUCGUGGACGGAGCUGGACACGCGCCGUGGAAAACAUGGCAAAAGCAUAUACGAUUCCACGAUCCGUACAUGGACCCAAACACGUACCCAGAACGGGCGGUACGGGGACACGGGAAAAAAAGUUCCCGACGCCCAUCGUGGACGGAGCUGCACGCGUGCCAUGGAAAACAGGGCAAAAGCACAGACGAUUCCAUGA
This 690-nucleotide ribosomal RNA is filed under the name Triticum aestivum (bread wheat). Its description in RNAcentral is "partial small subunit ribosomal RNA". The stretch from base 14 to 326 matches the Rfam family "Eukaryotic large subunit ribosomal RNA", at positions 1903 to 2349 of the family's 3401-position model. Lineage: Eukaryota; Viridiplantae; Streptophyta; Magnoliopsida; Poales; Poaceae. The record is from RNAcentral.